AGGCAUUUUUGUUCUUGUUCAUCAAGAACUUGAUGAACGUGAAUGAAUGUUCAUAGAGAGGGAGAAGAGAGUCAAAAGAGAGUAGGUUUUAGAAGAGAGAAAUGAAAGGAGAAGUGAGGUCGGGUGGGAUUGAUCUCUCCGCCUCUCUAUUUUGGUUUUAAGGGAGUUUUUUUCAAACUCUAGGCCUUGGGCCCUUAACCCAAUCUAUCACUUUUUUCCCACUAGACACCCCCUAUUAGUGUCUUGUGUAGUAGAUUGGGACUUAUGCUUAAAUCCCAUUAGUGUUUGCUUGACCACACCUCUUUUUCGAUCUCACCCCCUAUUGGUGUGAGAUAUUUAAAGUAUUGGACCUUUGUUGGGUCCUGGGCGCGCCACCUCCCCUUUUCAUGUUGGUACCUCUGCUUUGUUUGAUUUUUUUUUAUUUAUUCAUUUACGUUGGGACUUUAAGCCCAUUGUUUUAUUUUUUUUUGCUGAUACCCCUCUUAUAUUAUGGUGUUUUAAUUUUUCGUGCCAAAUUAUAUAUAUUCGGUGCUAAAUGUAAUUUACUUACAUUAGUCUUAAAUAAAUGUAAUUUGUCAUACUG
Molecule: long non-coding RNA, 583 nt
Organism: Lathyrus oleraceus (garden pea)
Lineage: Eukaryota; Viridiplantae; Streptophyta; Magnoliopsida; Fabales; Fabaceae
Exons: 2
Source: RefSeq, a predicted model, not a curated record